AUACAGAGGUGGCGAACGUUGUUCGGAUUUACUGGGCGUAAAGGGUCCGCAGGCGGUCCGGUGUGUCGGAUGUGAAAGCUCACAGCUCAACUGUGGAAUUGCAUUCGAAACUGCCGGUCUAGAGUACUGGAGGGGUGAAGGGAACACUUGGUGUAGCGGUGAAAUGCGUAGAUAUCAAGUGGAACACCGGAGGCGAAGGCGCUUCACUGGACAGAUACUGACGCUCAUGGACGAAAGCUAGGGUAGCGAAAGGGAUUAGAUACCCCUGUAGUCCUAGCCGUAAACGGUGUGCACUAGACGUGGGUGGAUUUACCCCCAUCCGUGUCUGAGCUAACGCAUUAAGUGCACCGCCUGGGGAGUACGGUCGCAAGAUUAAA
RNAcentral lists this ribosomal RNA (377 nucleotides) under uncultured bacterium. RNAcentral's name for it is "bacterial SSU rRNA". It matches the Rfam family "Bacterial small subunit ribosomal RNA", at positions 523 to 898 of the family's 1533-position model. The record is from RNAcentral.